This 253-nucleotide ribosomal RNA is filed under the name uncultured bacterium. RNAcentral describes it as "partial 16S ribosomal RNA". It matches the Rfam family "Bacterial small subunit ribosomal RNA", at positions 524 to 776 of the family's 1533-position model. The record is from RNAcentral.
UACAGAGGUCUCAAGCGUUGUUCGGAUUCAUUGGGCGUAAAGGGUGUGUAGGUGGCGCCGUAAGUCGGGUGUGAAAUUUCGGAGCUUAACUCCGAAACUGCAUUCGAUACUGCGGUGCUUGAGGACUGGAGAGGAGACUGGAAUUCAUGGUGUAGCAGUGAAAUGCGUAGAGAUCAUGAGGAAGACCAGUGGCGAAGGCGGGUCACUGGUCCGGUACUGACGCUGAGGUGCGAAAGCGUGGGGAGCAAACAGG